RNAcentral lists this ribosomal RNA (495 nucleotides) under uncultured bacterium. RNAcentral describes it as "partial 16S ribosomal RNA". It matches the Rfam family "Bacterial small subunit ribosomal RNA", at positions 28 to 507 of the family's 1533-position model. The record is from RNAcentral.
GACGAACGCUGGCGGCGUGCCUAAUACAUGCAAGUCGAACGCUGAAGGAGGAGCUUGCUUCUCUGGAUGAGUUGCGAACGGGUGAGUAACGCGUAGGUAACCUGCCUGGUAGCGGGGGAUAACUAUUGGAAACGAUAGCUAAUACCGCAUAAUAGUAGAUGUCGCAUGACAUUUGCUUAAAAGGUGCAAUUGCAUCACUACCAGAUGGACCUGCGUUGUAUUAGCUAGUUGGUGAGGUAACGGCUCACCAAGGCAACGAUACAUAGCCGACCUGAGAGGGGGAUCGGCCACACUGGGACUGAGACACGGCCCAGACUCCUACGGGAGGCAGCAGUAGGGAAUCUUCGGCAAUGGACGGAAGUCUGACCGAGCAACGCCGCGUGAGGGAAGAAGGGUUUCGGAUCGUAAAGCUCGGUUGUAAGAGAAGAACGAGUGUGAGAGUGGAAAGUUCACACUGUGACGGUAUCUUACCAGAAAGGGACGGCUAACUACGUG